AAAUUGAAGAGUUUGAUCAUGGCUCAGAUUGAACGCUGGCGGCAGGCCUAACACAUGCAAGUCGAACGGUAACAGGAAGCAGCUUGCUGCUUUGCUGACGAGUGGCGGACGGGUGAGUAAUGUCUGGGAAACUGCCUGAUGGAGGGGGAUAACUACUGGAAACGGUGGCUAAUACCGCAUAACGUCGCAAGACCAAAGAGGGGGACCUUCGGGCCUCUUGCCAUCAGAUGUGCCCAGAUGGGAUUAGCUAGUUGGUGAGGUAACGGCUCACCAAGGCGACGAUCCCUAGCUGGUCUGAGAGGAUGACCAGCCACACUGGAACUGAGACACGGUCCAGACUCCUACGGGAGGCAGCAGUGGGGAAUAUUGCACAAUGGGCGCAAGCCUGAUGCAGCCAUGCCGC
Molecule: ribosomal RNA, 403 nt
Filed under: Salmonella enterica
Lineage: Bacteria; Pseudomonadati; Pseudomonadota; Gammaproteobacteria; Enterobacterales; Enterobacteriaceae
Also listed under: 1 other name
Description: partial 16S ribosomal RNA
Rfam family: Bacterial small subunit ribosomal RNA
Source: RNAcentral